UGCCCAGGUGGUGAAAUGGCAGACACGCCAGAUUUAGGAUCUGGUGCCGAAAGGCGUGGAGGUUCGAGUCCUCUCCUGGGCAA
Molecule: transfer RNA, 83 nt
Filed under: Chlamydiota bacterium
Lineage: Bacteria; Pseudomonadati; Chlamydiota
Description: Chlamydiae bacterium tRNA-Leu
Rfam family: tRNA
About the family: Transfer RNA (tRNA) molecules are approximately 80 nucleotides in length.
Source: RNAcentral